CUUUUCAGUGGGAAACAACACUAAAUACCUAUAUAUGGGGAGGUAAUAGCUCCAAGUCGUUUUUACACUGAAAACCGCAUGAAUUUGAAACCAACACUAGGAAACAUACUGAGAAACCAGAG
Molecule: non-coding RNA, 122 nt
Organism: Vicugna pacos (alpaca)
Lineage: Eukaryota; Metazoa; Chordata; Mammalia; Artiodactyla; Camelidae
Source: RefSeq, a predicted model, not a curated record